Long non-coding RNA from Branchiostoma belcheri (Belcher's lancelet), 642 nucleotides. RefSeq lists it as uncharacterized. Lineage: Eukaryota; Metazoa; Chordata; Leptocardii; Amphioxiformes; Branchiostomatidae. The record is from RefSeq and is a predicted model, not a curated record. The transcript has 3 exons.
UGAAAUCGUGUCUUGUGCUGAAGAUUUCGUCUUUUUUGCGUUACAAAUUGGGAAAACGACAGAUAACGUUGACUCAUAACGAGACGGAUCCUUCACUGGUUUCAAAGGUUCUCCGGGUCCAGUCUCUGGUCUGUCCUGGUUAUGCUGUCCAGCAGAUUGUCCCAUAGCCCAGGUGGACAGGACAGCAGGAGCCUGAAGUUUGCAAAGAGGAGAUAUCAACUUCAGCCCAAUAAUUCUGUAGAAUUAUAGUAGAAACUUUAAAACUGUUUGUGGAUUGAUUGAUGUUAACUUAUGCCCCAUUGUAACAAUAUAAUAGGGACAAGCCAUCAUGAAUGUCAGUUUGUUGAGAAUAUUUUGUACACAUCUUACCUGGAAGAGACAGCGUGCUACCGGUAUACUAGUAGUAUUUUGUUGUCCAUCUUUGUUAGGCUCUGGGAUCUAUGAGACAAGACAUUGCUUGUAUUAUUACUUAAACAGCCUUUUUUUAGUAAUGCUUUAACAUAUCAAGCUUUUUUGAUACUGGCAUGAAACGUUGAUGAAUGUAGUAGCAGUUCAUCAUUUUUAUUGUUAGGCCACAGCAAACAUGUGCAUUGAUUUUCGCCUGAUUUUCUACAAGAACCAGUGUAUGUGUAUAUUGUAUAG